Molecule: transfer RNA, 88 nt
Filed under: Melioribacteraceae bacterium
Lineage: Bacteria; Pseudomonadati; Ignavibacteriota; Ignavibacteria; Ignavibacteriales; Melioribacteraceae
Description: tRNA-Ser
Rfam family: tRNA
About the family: Transfer RNA (tRNA) molecules are approximately 80 nucleotides in length. Their secondary structure includes four short double-helical elements and three loops (D, anti-codon, and T loops). Further hydrogen bonds mediate the characteristic L-shaped molecular structure. tRNAs have two regions of fundamental functional importance: the anti-codon, which is responsible for specific mRNA codon recognition, and the 3' end, to which the tRNAs corresponding amino acid is attached (by aminoacyl-tRNA synthetases). tRNAs cope with the degeneracy of the genetic code in two manners: having more than one tRNA (with a specific anti-codon) for a particular amino acid; and 'wobble' base-pairing, i.e. permitting non-standard base-pairing at the 3rd anti-codon position.
Source: RNAcentral
GGAGAGGUGCAGGAGUGGUUGAACUGGCUCGCCUGGAAAGUGAGUGUGCGUUAACGCGUACCGUGGGUUCGAAUCCCACCCUCUCCGC